Molecule: ribosomal RNA, 924 nt
Filed under: Boreostiba sp. HE-2010
Lineage: Eukaryota; Metazoa; Arthropoda; Insecta; Coleoptera; Staphylinidae
Description: SSU rRNA
Rfam family: Eukaryotic small subunit ribosomal RNA
Source: RNAcentral
AAUUACCCAUUCCCAGCACGGGGAGGUAGUGACGAAAAAUAACGAUACGGGACUCAUCCGAGGCCCCGUAAUCGGAAUGAGUACACUUUAAAACUUUUUCCGAGGAUCAAUUGGAGGGUAAGUCUGGUGCCAGCAGCCGCGGUAAUUCCAGCUCCAAUAGCGUAUAUUAAAGUUGUUGCGGUUAAAAAGCUCGUAGUCGAAUCUGUGUCCCGCGCCGCUGGUUCAUCGCUCGCGGUGUUCAACUGGCGUGUCUCGCGGGACGUCCUGCCGGUGGGUACUCGUAUCGUUUCGGCGGUGCGUGACCCAACUCGUAGCCGUCUCGCGCGGUUGCGAAUCCCAUCGCGGUGCUCUUUAUUGAGUGUCGAGGUGGGCCGGCACGUUUACUUUGAACAAAUUAGAGUGCUUAAAGCAGGCCAAUUUUGCCUGAAUAUUGUGUGCAUGGAAUAAUGGAAUAGGACCUCGGUUCUAUUUUGUUGGUUUUCGGAACCCCGAGGUAAUGAUUAAUAGGAACGGAUGGGGGCAUUCGUAUUGCGACGUUAGAGGUGAAAUUCUUGGAUCGUCGCAAGACGGACAGAAGCGAAAGCAUUUGCCAAAAACGCUUUCAUUGAUCAAGAACGAAAGUUAGAGGUUCGAAGGCGAUCAGAUACCGCCCUAGUUCUAACCAUAAACGAUGCCAGCUAGCGAUCCGCCGACGUUCCUCCGAUGACUCGGCGGGCAGCUUCCGGGAAACCAAAGCUUUUGGGUUCCGGGGGAAGUAUGGUUGCAAAGCUGAAACUUAAAGGAAUUGACGGAAGGGCACCACCAGGAGUGGAGCCUGCGGCUUAAUUUGACUCAACACGGGACACCUUACCAGGCCCGGACACCGGAAGGAUUGACAGAUUGAGAGCUCUUUCUUGAUUCGGUGGGUGGUGGUGCAUGGCCGUU